GCUCCGGUGGCCCAGUGGUAACUCUCCUGUCUACGGAAUGGGUGACCCAGGUUCGAUCCCCGCCAUUGGCGCC
This is a non-coding RNA of Gymnothorax javanicus (giant moray), 73 nucleotides long. The record is from the annotation of a GenBank genome assembly. NCBI's taxonomy places the organism in Eukaryota, Metazoa, Chordata, Actinopteri, Anguilliformes, Muraenidae.